UGGGGGAGUAUUGCACAAUGGGGGGAACCCGUGAUGCAGCGACGCCGCGUGGGUGAAGAAGCGCCUCGGCGCGUAAAGCCCUGUCAGCAGGGAAGAAAAUGACGGUACCUGAAGAAGAAGCCCGGCUAACUACGUGCC
RNAcentral lists this ribosomal RNA (138 nucleotides) under uncultured bacterium. Its description in RNAcentral is "partial 16S ribosomal RNA". It matches the Rfam family "Bacterial small subunit ribosomal RNA", at positions 354 to 509 of the family's 1533-position model. The record is from RNAcentral.